UAGGGAAUCCUCCGCAAUGGACGAAAGUCUGACGGAGCAACGCCGCGUGCGGGAUGACGGCCUUCGGGUUGUAAACCGCUUUCAGCAGGGACGCGGUACCUGCAGAAGAAGCCCCGGCUAACUACGUGCCAGCAGCCGCGGUAAUACGUAGGGGGCAAGCGUUGUCCGGAUUCAUUGGGCGUAAAGAGCUCGUAGGCGGUUCAGUAAGUCAGGUGUGAAAGCUCCGAGCUCAACUCGGAGAGGCCACUUGAUACUGCUGGACUAGAAUCCAGUAGGGGAGCGUGGAACUCCUGGUGUAGCGGUGAAAUGCGCAGAUAUCAGGAAGAACACCAGCGGCGAAGGCGGCGCUCUGGGCUGGAAUUGACGCUGAGGAGCGAAAGUGUGGGUAGCAAACAGGAUUAGAUACCCCUGUAGU
RNAcentral lists this ribosomal RNA (415 nucleotides) under uncultured bacterium. RNAcentral describes it as "bacterial SSU rRNA". It matches the Rfam family "Bacterial small subunit ribosomal RNA", at positions 355 to 794 of the family's 1533-position model. The record is from RNAcentral.